GCAACCUCAAGCUGGCACACGGCAACCUGGUGGUGUUCCGCUCGCUGCUGGGCAUCUCCUGGAUGUGGUUCUUCGGCGCGGUCUUCCUGUCGCUCUUCCCCGCCUUCGCGAAGAGCGUGCUG
RNAcentral lists this non-coding RNA (122 nucleotides) under Pseudideonella sakaiensis. RNAcentral describes it as "Ideonella sakaiensis Burkholderia RNA 11". It matches the Rfam family "Burkholderia RNA 11". Rfam says of the family: Co-purified with Hfq, expression confirmed by Northern blot. The record is from Rfam by way of RNAcentral. Lineage: Bacteria; Pseudomonadati; Pseudomonadota; Betaproteobacteria; Burkholderiales; Sphaerotilaceae.